Molecule: ribosomal RNA, 321 nt
Filed under: uncultured Prevotella sp.
Lineage: Bacteria; Pseudomonadati; Bacteroidota; Bacteroidia; Bacteroidales; Prevotellaceae
Description: partial 16S ribosomal RNA
Source: RNAcentral
GGAGUUUGGACCGUGUCUCAGUUCCAAUGUGGGGGACCUUCCUUUCAGAACCCCUACUGAUCGUCGGCUAGGUGGGCCCUUGCCCCGCCUACUACCUAAUCAGACGCAUCCCCAUCCCUUACCGAUGAAUCUUUGCUCCUCGUUAGAUGCCUGCAAAGGAGAACAUAGAGUAUUAAUCCGACUUUCGCCGGGCUAUCCUCUAGUAAGGGGAAGGUUGGAUACGCGUUACUCACCCGUGCGCCGGUCGCCAUCAAAGGAAGCAAGCUUCCUUCAUGCUGCCCCACCGACUUGCAUGUGUUAAGCCUGUAGCUAGCGUUCAUC